Molecule: ribosomal RNA, 1033 nt
Filed under: Python bivittatus (Burmese python)
Lineage: Eukaryota; Metazoa; Chordata; Lepidosauria; Squamata; Pythonidae
Description: partial 16S ribosomal RNA
Rfam family: Bacterial large subunit ribosomal RNA
Source: RNAcentral
AAAAGUAGAGGUGAAAUGCCUACCGAAUCUGGAGAUAGCUGGCUACCCAAAAAAGAAUUUAAGUUCACCUUUAGACCAACACACCACAACCUAGUACAUCUAAAGACAUUCAAUAGGGGUACAGCUCUAUUGAAACAGGAUACAACCUGACCUUGAGAAUAAAACAACCUUAAACCUACAAGUAGGCCUUAAAGCAGCCACCUAAAAAAAUAUCGUUAAAGAAUUACAGACAAAAAUCCCAAAAAAAAUUAAAUAUUCCAAACACAUUAAGGGUAAAUCUAUAACCAUAGAUAAACUUAUGCUAAAACUAAUAAUAAGAAAAAUUCUCUAAGCGCAACUGUAUGCAAGAAACAGAAAAUCUGCUUGCAAUCAACAGACCAAAAAAGGAACGGCACAACACCCUACACAACUCCCACAUAAACUGUAACCCCAACACAGGAGCGCAACAAAGAAAGAUAAAACAUUACAAAAGGAACUCGGCAACCAAUGACUCCAACUGUUUACCAAAAACAUAACCUUUAGCCAAACUAGUAUUAAAGGCAACGCCUGCCCAGUGAGAAUUUCUUCAACGGCCGCGGUACCCUAACCGUGCAAAGGUAGCGUAAUCACUUGUCUAUUAAUUGUAGACCCGUAUGAAAGGCCACAUGAGAGUCAAACUGUCUCUUGUAAUCAAUCAAUUAAACUGAUCUCCCAGUACAAAAGCUGAGAUAUACAUAUAAGACCAGAAGACCCUGUGAAGCUUAAACUAAACUAUUAAACCCACUAAUAGCUACUUUCAGUUGGGGCGACUUUGGAACAAAACAGAACUUCCAAACAACAUGAGCCAUCCCUCAUACUACAGGCCAACAAGCCACCACAAGACCCAGUAACACUGAUAAUUGAACCAAGUUACUCCAGGGAUAACAGCGCCAUCUUCUUUAAGAGCCCAUAUCAAAAAGAAGGUUUACGACCUCGAUGUUGGAUCAGGACACCCAAAUGGUGCAGCCGCUAUUAAAGGUUCGUUUGUUCAACGAUUAACAGUCCUACGUGAUCU